UAAGGAAUAUUGGUCAAUGGACGCAAGUCUGAACCAGCCAUGCCGCGUGAAGGAUGAAGGCCCUCUGGGUUGUAAACUUCUUUUAUCUGGGACGAAAAAAGGGAAUUCUUUCCCACUUGACGGUACCAGAGGAAUAAGCACCGGCUAACUCCGUGCCAGCAGCCGCGGUAAUACGGAGGGUGCAAGCGUUAUCCGGAUUCACUGGGUUUAAAGGGUGCGUAGGUGGGUCUGUAAGUCAGUGGUGAAAUCUCCAAGCUUAACUUGGAAACUGCCAUUGAUACUAUAGGUCUUGAAUAUCCUGGAGGUGAGCGGAAUAUGUCAUGUAGCGGUGAAAUGCUUAGAUAUGACAUAGAACACCCAUUGCGAAGGCAGCUCACUACGGGAUUAUUGACACUGAGGCACGAAAGCGUGGGGAUCAAACA
Molecule: ribosomal RNA, 422 nt
Filed under: uncultured bacterium
Lineage: Bacteria
Description: bacterial SSU rRNA
Rfam family: Bacterial small subunit ribosomal RNA
Source: RNAcentral